GAUGAAGAACGUAGUGAAAUGCGAUACGUAAUGUGAAUUGCAGAAUUCAGUGAAUCAUCGAAUCUUUGAACGCACCUUGCGCCCUUUGGCCAUUCCGAAGGGCAUGCCUGUUUGAGUAUCAUGAACACCUCAACUCUUCAUGGUUUUCCAUGAUGAGCUUGGACUUUGGGGGUCUUGCUGGCCUGUGGGUCGGCUCCUCUCAAAUGAAUCAGCUUGCCGGUUUUUGGUGGGCAUCACAGGUGUGAUAACUCUCUACGCUUGUGGUUUUCCACCAGGGUAACCUUCAGCAGUGGAGGUUCACUGGAGCUUACAAAUGUCUCUCCUCUGUGAGGACAGCCCUUUGAAUGUUUGAUCUCAAAUCAGGUAGGACUACCCGCUGAACUUAAGCAUAUCAAUAAGCGGAGGA
RNAcentral lists this unclassified non-coding RNA (406 nucleotides) under soil metagenome. RNAcentral describes it as "partial contains 5.8S ribosomal RNA, internal transcribed spacer 2, and large subunit ribosomal RNA". The stretch from base 1 to 121 matches the Rfam family "5.8S ribosomal RNA", at positions 35 to 154 of the family's 154-position model. The record is from RNAcentral.